This 436-nucleotide ribosomal RNA is filed under the name Clostridium novyi B str. NCTC 9691. Its description in RNAcentral is "bacterial SSU rRNA". It matches the Rfam family "Bacterial small subunit ribosomal RNA", at positions 1102 to 1533 of the family's 1533-position model. The record is from RNAcentral. Lineage: Bacteria; Bacillati; Bacillota; Clostridia; Eubacteriales; Clostridiaceae.
CCCUUAUUGUUAGUUGCUACUAUUAAGUUAAGCACUCUAACGAGACUGCCGCGGUUAACGUGGAGGAAGGUGGGGAUGACGUCAAAUCAUCAUGCCCCUUAUGUCUAGGGCUACACACGUGCUACAAUGGCUGGUACAACGAGCAGCAAACCCGCGAGGGGGAGCAAAACUUGAAAGCCAGUCCCAGUUCGGAUUGUAGGCUGAAACUCGCCUACAUGAAGUUGGAGUUGCUAGUAAUCGCGAAUCAGCAUGUCGCGGUGAAUACGUUCCCGGGUCUUGUACACACCGCCCGUCACACCAUGAGAGCCGGUAACACCCGAAGCCCGUGAGGUAACCGUAAGGAGCCAGCGGUCGAAGGUGGGAUUGGUGAUUGGGGUGAAGUCGUAACAAGGUAGCCGUAGGAGAACCUGCGGCUGGAUCACCUCCUUUCUAGGGA